CGCGUAGGUGGUCGUGUAAGUCGGAUGUGAAAGCCCAGGGCUUAACCUUGGAAUUGCAUCCGAUACUGCAUGACUAGAGUAUGGUAGAGGGAAGUGGAAUUUCCGGUGUAGCGGUGAAAUGCGUAGAUAUCGGAAGGAACACCAGUGGCGAAGGCGACUUCCUGGGCCAAUACUGACACUGAGGUGCGAAAGCGUGGGUAGCAAACA
Molecule: ribosomal RNA, 207 nt
Filed under: uncultured bacterium
Lineage: Bacteria
Description: partial 16S ribosomal RNA
Rfam family: Bacterial small subunit ribosomal RNA
Source: RNAcentral